AUUACCGCGGCUGCUGGCACGGAGUUAGCCGGUGCUUCUUCUGCGAGUAACGUCAAUCGCCAAGGUUAUUAACCUUAAUGCCUUCCUCCUCGCUGAAAGUACUUUACAACCCGAAGGCCUUCUUCAUACACGCGGCAUGGCUGCAUCAGGCUUGCGCCCAUUGUGCAAUAUUCCCCACUGCUGCCUCCCGUAGGAG
This 196-nucleotide ribosomal RNA is filed under the name uncultured bacterium. RNAcentral's name for it is "partial 16S ribosomal RNA". The record is from RNAcentral.